This 1654-nucleotide long non-coding RNA is filed under the name Diabrotica virgifera virgifera (western corn rootworm). Its description in RNAcentral is "uncharacterized LOC126888870". The record is from RNAcentral. Lineage: Eukaryota; Metazoa; Arthropoda; Insecta; Coleoptera; Chrysomelidae.
AAACUUAGGCCCGGUCUUUUCACCUCCGAAUAAAUAUGCUCUUAUCUGGCAGUUAGCUAUCUGGAGGAUAAAUAUUUAUUCGCCAGAUAAAAUGUACCCGUCUUUUCACGUCAAUUUAUGUUCCAGUUAGUUAUCCGGUAGAUAAGCUUAAAAAAAGAAAACAUUGAUUAUGCUGAAAUAGUUUACUGGAGAGCUUGAACAAGAGGUAAAUCCAUUUUAAAUUAGAGGAAAACUGUUGAUUUGUAUGUAAAAUAGAAGACAAAGACAAGUUUAAAUAAAGACAAGCUAGCUAAUGAAACAGAUGCAGUGGUAAUUUUGUUUACAUAAUUAUAUAUGUACAUAUUAUAUGAUUAUUAAUAUUAGGUUUGUUCUAGCAAACAGUCAAACUAGUCAGAAACCGUCAGCAAUUAGUUGCUCAGUGGGAGAACAUAAUACAGUCACCAGUGCUAUCCCCUAUCUACUCGUGCUGGUCGACUAUUCGCUGAUGGUUUCAAACCAUUUGAAACUGAUGCUAGAACAAACCUAAUAACUGUUCAAUGAUGUAAAAAUUUGUUAAUGUGGGGAAAACUUUUAUUUAAAUUCAAUACUAUAUUUUUGUAGUGGUAUAGCAAAACUUGAUGUUACGUCUGACUUUAGCCAUAAUGAGAUUAUUUGCUUGAUAUGCUAUUUAGUAACAUCUCUUCAAGUUGGUAUAGUUUGGUAUGUGUAUGAUGAAGGUAAAACUCCCUUUGUCCCACAUGUCCCCUUUUAACUUACAGUAGAACCCUAAUUAUCCGUGCUAUGAUUUUCUAUUACUCAAGUUGCAUUUUUGAGGUUUUAUCAACAUAGCGUCAUUGUAAAUCACUUAACGGAAACUCUAUAUGACGAAAGAGAGACUCAUAAUGAAAGAUUUAUUUUUUCUGUUAUCUUUUUAUGGUAGGUACAUAAUAUGUACAUAUGUGUAUACGUACUUAUUAUACAUAAGAAAUACAUGUUCGGAUUAUCAGUGCCACCUUCGGUCCCGAGGAGCACGGAUAAUCGGGAUUCUACUAUAUUAGGUAGGCCAGAACUUGAUAUAUUACUUGAUUUCUUAUGUUGAUUACUUUUCGUUUUUGGGUUGACAAAACAUGAUUUAAACUUUCAAAAUGCCCUCCUGAAAAAUUAUUCUAGAUGGACAUAUCAAUCAUUGUCAAAACGCUACAGAUUUAUAAUCCAUCCAACUGGUAUAUUGAAUAGUAAACUAGGGAUAAACCAACUAUGUAUAUCAAAACACAAUAUUUUAAAGAUUGGAUAAUUUACAUGGUAAAUUGAAGAAUCCCAAUAACAAGAAUAAAACCUAAUUUUAAUAUUUGUUAGUAGAUAUCUUUCACUUUUCUAAAUAAAAAAAAUUAGUUACAGAUAUGACAAACACCUAGAAGAUGGAAUCCUGUGUUCUCAUAGAAAAAGCUAGUUCCAGAAAUAAGCUACCAAUAAUAAACAAGAGAAUGUAUUACAAGAAAGAACAACGCUAAUACUCAACAUAGCUCAAUUGCUUCAGAUAGAAAAAGAGGAGGAAAGGGUAGAACACAAGCGUGCCAGAGAAAAUGAAAGGGCAGAAGAGACAAAAAUUCAUUGAUUUAUUAAAUUUAAUAAUUAAAUUAUACAAAGGACAAUUAAAUAAAGAAUAAAAAAAUUA